RNAcentral lists this transfer RNA (91 nucleotides) under compost metagenome. Its description in RNAcentral is "tRNA-Phe". The record is from RNAcentral.
CGCCGGGUCGAGCAGGCCGGCUUCAUGGUGCUGAAGUCGCCGGACAUUCCGUCGAUCCUGGUGGAAACCGGGUUCAUCUCCAACCCGGCGG